ACGGAAGCUUGGAGAGGCCAAGAUCGAGCCGGAAGAGAAGGCUCGAAUCUCCCGCUUCAAGCUCCCCAGCACGGAACCCGGCACCCACGCGGAGCACAUGCCGCGGAAUAGGCAAAAGUGUUGCGGGCCUGCGUAUUUGCGAAAAGCGGACGGCCAUAGUGGCCCCUUGGGUGGGGCUGCCGCCGAAGCGCAUCGACAAGACGCCGAGGCCACCCACGCAACCCGAAAAGCACGCUUGGUAACCGGUGUCCGUGCUAGCGGGCGACGAGCCGAACCGACGUUCGGAACGUCGCCCGCUUCGCGUU
Molecule: non-coding RNA, 305 nt
Filed under: Mycobacterium sp. E740
Lineage: Bacteria; Bacillati; Actinomycetota; Actinomycetes; Mycobacteriales; Mycobacteriaceae
Description: Mycobacterium smegmatis small RNA 1
Rfam family: Mycobacterium smegmatis small RNA 1
About the family: Mycobacterium smegmatis small RNA 1 is highly expressed during stationary phase of growth.
Source: Rfam by way of RNAcentral